CAGGAAGUGUGUGAAUCGGUAAGCUGCGUGUCUCCUCAUCGCAUCUCCAUCAGUCUUGCUGGGCCGGCGCUAGAGGGCACGCACUGCGGCGGAGAAAACUGGUGCCGCGGGGGGAAGUGCGUGCCAUGGGGAAGCGAUGGCCCUCUCGAAGUCGUGGACGGGGGGUGGGGCCCCGUGACCACCAGCGAGUGCCAGUCGGGGUGCGUCGAAGGAGGCACAGGCUGGCAGGUGUCCCGACGCCCUGCAAUACCCCCCCC
RNAcentral lists this long non-coding RNA (257 nucleotides) under Penaeus monodon (black tiger shrimp). RNAcentral's name for it is "uncharacterized LOC119569904, transcript variant X1". The record is from RNAcentral. Lineage: Eukaryota; Metazoa; Arthropoda; Malacostraca; Decapoda; Penaeidae.